Molecule: ribosomal RNA, 503 nt
Filed under: uncultured bacterium
Lineage: Bacteria
Description: partial 16S ribosomal RNA
Rfam family: Bacterial small subunit ribosomal RNA
Source: RNAcentral
AACGAACGCUGGCGGCGUGCCUAACACAUGCAAGUCGAACGAGAAAGGGGCUUCGGCUCCGAGUAAAGUGGCGCACGGGUGAGUAACACGUGGGUAACCUGCCUCUAAGAUUGGGAUAACUCGUCGAAAGAUGAGCUAAUACCGAAUAAGACCACAGUUCCCGCGGGAACAGGGGUCAAAGGUAGCCUCUGCUUGCAAGCUAUCACUUAGAGAUGGGCCUGCGCACCAUUAGCUAGUUGGUAGGGUAACGGCCUACCAAGGCAAAGAUGGUUAGCUGGUCUGAGAGGAUGAUCAGCCACACUGGAACUGAGACACGGUCCAGACUCCUACGGGAGGCAGCAGUGGGGAAUAUUGCGCAAUGGGCGAAAGCUUGACGCAGCAACGCCGCGUGAGUGAUGAAGGCCGUCGGGUCGUAAAGCUCUGUCGGGAGGAACGAAUGCUCCUGAGGUUAACAGCCUCGGGAGGUGACGGUACCUGCAAAGGAAGCACCGGCUAACUCUGUG